RNAcentral lists this ribosomal RNA (913 nucleotides) under uncultured marine archaeon. Its description in RNAcentral is "bacterial SSU rRNA". It matches the Rfam family "Archaeal small subunit ribosomal RNA", at positions 1 to 921 of the family's 1478-position model. The record is from RNAcentral.
UUCCGGUUGAUCCCGCCGGAGGCUACCGCUAUUGGAGUUCGAUUAAGCCAUGCGAGUCGCGAGUCUUAGGGACUCGGCGUACCGCUCAGUAACACGUGGGUAACCUGCCCUAUGCUGGGGGAUAACCUCGGGAAACUGAGAAUAAUACCCCAUAGUUCACCACGCCUGGAACGGUGGGUGGACCAAAGCUCCGGCGGCAUAGGAUGGGCCUGCGGCGUAUCAGGUUGUAGGGGGUGUAAUGUACCCUCUAGCCCUCUACGCGUACGGGUGUUGAGAGACAUCGCCCGGAGAUGGAUUCUGAGACACGAAUCCAGACCCUACGGGGUGCAGCAGGCGCGAAAACUUGGCAAUGCGAGAAAUCGUGACCAGGGAACUCCAAGUGCAUCGGGUAAGACCGAUGCUUUUCUUGACUCUUCAAAGGUCUUGGAAUAAGGGGUGGGUAAGGACGGUGCCAGCCGCCGCGGUAAUACCGGCGCCCCAAGUGGUAGUCGCUUUUAUUGGGCCUAAAACGUCCGUAGCCGGUCUGGUACAUUCGUGGGUAAAUCAACCAGCUCAACUGGUUGAAUUCUGCGAGCACGGCCAGACUUGGGACCGGGAGAGGUGUGGGGUACUCUCAGGGUAGGGGUAAAAUCCUGUCAUCCUGAGAGGACCACCUGUUGCGAAGGCGCCACACUAGAACGGAUCCGACGGUCAGGGACGAAGCCUAGGGGCACGAACCGGAUUAGAUACCCGGGUAGUCCUAGGUGUAAACGCUGUGGACUUGAUGUUGGGGGCGCUCCGAGCGCACUCAGUGUCGAAGCGAAGGUGAUAAGUCCACUGCCUGGGGAGUACGGUCGCAAGGCUGAAACUUAAGGAAUUGGCGGGGGAGCACCGCAACCUGAGGAUUGUGCGGUUUAAUUGGAGUCAACGCCGG